AUGCUGCCGGCUGGCGUCAAGUUUGAUCCCACGGAUCAGGAGCUGAUCGAGCACCUUGAGGCUAAAGUGAGUGCUGACAACGUGAGAUCUCACACUCUCAUCGAUUUGUUCGUACCAACCAUCGACAGCGAGCAUGGCAUAUGCUACACCCAUCCUGAGAAACUUCCAGGUAUCACACUGAGAGGACUAAGCAAGCUUUUCUUCCUGCACAAUUCCAGGGCGUUCAAAAGGGGCACGUGGAUGUGUCGCAAGAUACAAUCAGAGUGCGGCAUGCACGCGAUGUGGCACAAGACUGGCAAUACCUUGCCGGUGAUGGUCAACGGCUGGCAGACGGGCAUCAAAAGGGUUCUGGUGCUGCACACCAAUAAGAAGUUUGACCAGCAGAGGACCAACUGGGUGAUGCACCAGUACCACCUCGGAGACCUGGAGCAAGAGAAGGAGCGGGAGCUGGUCUUCUGCAAGAUUUUCUACCAGACGAACACUAGGGCCAGGAGUAAAAAGAUUAUAAGUUAG
Molecule: ribosomal RNA, 513 nt
Filed under: Triticum aestivum (bread wheat)
Lineage: Eukaryota; Viridiplantae; Streptophyta; Magnoliopsida; Poales; Poaceae
Description: partial small subunit ribosomal RNA
Source: RNAcentral